AUGCACGCUGGCGGCGUGCCUCAUCCCUGCAAGUCGCGCGAACAGACGAGGAGCUUGCUCCUCUGACGUUAGCGGCGGACGGGUGAGUAACACGUGGAUAACCUACCUAUAAGACUGGGAUAACUUCGGGAAACCGGAGCUAAUACCGGAUAAUAUAUUGAACCGCAUGGUUCAAUAGUGAAAGACGGUUUUGCUGUCACUUAUAGAUGGAUCCGCGCCGCAUUAGCUAGUUGGUAAGGUAACGGCUUACCAAGGCAACGAUGCGUAGCCGACCUGAGAGGGUGAUCGGCCACACUGGAACUGAAACACGGUCCAGACUCCUACGGGAGGCAGCAGUAGGGAAUCUUCCGCAAUGGGCGAAAGCCUGACGGAGCAACGCCGCGUGAGUGAUGAAGGUCUUCGGAUCGUAAAACUCUGUUAUUAGGGAAGAACAAAUGUGUAAGUAACUAUGCACGUCUUGACGGUACCUAAUCAGAAAGCCACGGCUAACUACGUG
This 496-nucleotide ribosomal RNA is filed under the name uncultured bacterium. RNAcentral describes it as "partial 16S ribosomal RNA". It matches the Rfam family "Bacterial small subunit ribosomal RNA", at positions 29 to 507 of the family's 1533-position model. The record is from RNAcentral.